This is a long non-coding RNA of Leopardus geoffroyi (Geoffroy's cat), 300 nucleotides long. RefSeq lists it as uncharacterized. The record is from RefSeq and is a predicted model, not a curated record. The transcript has 3 exons. Lineage: Eukaryota; Metazoa; Chordata; Mammalia; Carnivora; Felidae.
GCUAUGACGGUUUGUGGGUUGUGCCACUGCUCGUAUCAGGGACAGACGCUGCUUCAGAGCGCUGGGAGGAUUGGAGCAGCGGAAGUGCUUAGGUCUAAACCCAGAACGAAUAAUUGGUGCCACAGACAGCAGUGCAGAAUUAAUGUUCCUCAUGAAACGGAAAGAUUUAGAUGACGUCCACUCGGUGCUGGCAAAAGAGGCAAAUAUGAAGUGUCCUCAAAUUGUAAUUGCUUUUUAGAAGAGAAACUAACUUGGCAUUCUUAUCCAGAAGAUGAAGAGCUCGGUAAUUGUUUUCAUUGC